Molecule: ribosomal RNA, 477 nt
Filed under: uncultured bacterium
Lineage: Bacteria
Description: bacterial SSU rRNA
Rfam family: Bacterial small subunit ribosomal RNA
Source: RNAcentral
GAUGAACGCUGGCGGCGUGCCUAAUACAUGCAAGUCGAACUUGAUUUUCGGAUUGAGUGGCGAACGGGUGAGUAAGACAUAGGUAACCUGGCUUAUAGAGGGGGAUAACCACUGGAACCGGUGGAUAAUACCGCAUGAAUAUAUCGAAGGCAUCUUGGAUAUAUAAAAGGAGCUAAGGCUUCGCUAUAAGAUGGGCUUAUGACGCAUUAGCUAGUUGGUGAGGUAAAAGCUUACCAAGGCGACGAUGCGUAGCCGGACUGAGAGGUUGAACGGCCACACUGGGACUGAGACACGGCCCAGACUCCUACGGGAGGCAGCAGUGGGGAAUAUUGGGCAAUGGGGGAAACCCUGACCCAGCGACGCCGCGUGAGUGAAGACGGCCUUCGGGUUGUAAAGCUCUGUUAUGGGGGACGAAGACAGUGACGGUACCCCAUCAGAAAGCCACGGCUAACUACGUGCCAGCAGCCGCAGUAACAC